AUUGAACGCUGGCGGCAUGCCUUACACAUGCAAGUCGAACGGUAACAGGUUAAGCUGACGAGUGGCGAACGGGUGAGUAAUGUAUCGGAACGUGCCCAGUCGUGGGGGAUAACUGCUCGAAAGAGCAGCUAAUACCGCAUACGACCUGAGGGAGAAAGCGGGGGAUCGCAAGACCUCGCGCGAUUGGAGCGGCCGAUAUCAGAUUAGGUAGUUGGUGAGGUAAAGGCUCACCAAGCCGACGAUCUGUAGCUGGUCUGAGAGGACGACCAGCCACACUGGGACUGAGACACGGCCCAGACUCCUACGGGAGGCAGCAGUGGGGAAUUUUGGACAAUGGGCGCAAGCCUGAUCCAGCCAUGCCGCGUGCGGGAAGAAGGCCUUCGGGUUGUAAACCGCUUUUGUCAGGGAAGAAAAGGUUCUGGCUAAUACCUGGGACUCAUGACGGUACCUGAAAAAUAAGCACCGGCUAACUACGUG
RNAcentral lists this ribosomal RNA (477 nucleotides) under uncultured bacterium. Its description in RNAcentral is "partial 16S ribosomal RNA". It matches the Rfam family "Bacterial small subunit ribosomal RNA", at positions 30 to 507 of the family's 1533-position model. The record is from RNAcentral.